RNAcentral lists this ribosomal RNA (650 nucleotides) under uncultured Alphaproteobacteria bacterium. RNAcentral describes it as "bacterial SSU rRNA". It matches the Rfam family "Bacterial small subunit ribosomal RNA", at positions 38 to 719 of the family's 1533-position model. The record is from RNAcentral. Lineage: Bacteria; Pseudomonadati; Pseudomonadota; Alphaproteobacteria.
GGCGGCAUGCCUAACACAUGCAAGUCGAACGAAGGCCCUAGCUUGCUAGGUGUCCUUAGUGGCGAACGGGUGAGUAACGCGUGGGGACCUGCCCUGGAGUGGGGAACAACCUUUGGAAACGAAGGCUAAUACCGCAUACGCUCUACGGAGGAAAGGCUUCGUGCCGCUCUUGGAUGGUCCCGCGUCUGAUUAGCUUGUUGGUGGGGUAACGGCCUACCAAGGCGACGAUCAGUAGCUGGUCUGAGAGGAUGAUCAGCCACACUGGGACUGAGACACGGCCCAGACUCCUACGGGAGGCAGCAGUGGGGAAUAUUGGACAAUGGGGGAGACCCUGAUCCAGCAAUGCCGCGUGAGUGAAGAAGGCCUUAGGGUUGUAAAACUCUUUCGCCGGUGAAGAUGAUGACUGUAGCCGGUAAAGAAGCCCCGGCUAACUCCGUGCCAGCAGCCGCGGUAAUACGGAGGGGGCUAGCGUUGUUCGGAUUUACUGGGCGUAAAGCGCACGUAGGCGGCAUAUCAAGUCAGAGGUGAAAGGCCUGGGCUCAACCCGGGAACUGCCUUUGAUACUGGUAUGCUUGAGUUCGGAAGAGGGUAGUGGAAUUCCAAGUGUAGAGGUGAAAUUCGUAGAUAUUUGGAAGAACACCGGUGGCGAA